AGGAGUGAACUGUUGUUGGUCCGAGCGGCAAGUCCUCUGGAGGAUGCAGUGCAGUUCAGCGGGAGCCGGCUGGCAUCCCCCUGAAUCCUGUGCUGUUCAGCAGUGAGAUGUUGGAGGAGAUGGAGAAGGUUUCUCCAUCAAAUCUGACAUCUCCUGCUGACUUUGCUGGUGUUUCACCGCCAAAGGUAAAUUGCAUCCAGACAAACAUGUGUUUAGGUGUUAUCAUAAAAUGUUUUAUUCUGAAAGUCUAAAUGAUUAACGAUAGACUUCUAUAACGCUAAAUGUGUUCUGUGUCCAUAUCAUUUUGGACAGACGCUGCGUGUGAAACACCACUCCAAGAGGACUCGAAGGGUAAGUAGAUUUUGGAAAUAAAUCUUUGUAUUUAUUAUUUUUCCUGUGUUUGUGAAGUGAAAUAAACUUUGUUUUCGUUU
Melanotaenia boesemani (Boeseman's rainbowfish) is the source of this 431-nucleotide long non-coding RNA. RefSeq lists it as uncharacterized. The record is from RefSeq and is a predicted model, not a curated record. Lineage: Eukaryota; Metazoa; Chordata; Actinopteri; Atheriniformes; Melanotaeniidae. The transcript is spliced from 3 exons.